Molecule: long non-coding RNA, 2685 nt
Filed under: Homo sapiens (human)
Lineage: Eukaryota; Metazoa; Chordata; Mammalia; Primates; Hominidae
Description: non-protein coding MIR100HG:102
Source: RNAcentral
GAGAGCUCUCAUUUUCCCCCCUUGCUCGGGAUGGUGCCACAGGAGGCUGUGCGGGCCCCGCUCCGCUUCGAAUGGCUGGUCCUAUAGUACCCCUCCUCAGGAAUGUCUCCCCAGUGCAAGGACAAAGACUGAAGAGACUGCUAUAUUGAUGGACUCUCAAGCCAACUAUGAAGUUGAAACAAAGAAAGUGAUCACCUGAAGACACCUCCUCUGCUAAGAAACACCCCCAAAUUGUGCAGCUUCUGCCACUAGAACUCUCAGAACAAGAGACAAUCUUUUCAAGAAACAGAAAAACUCAAUAAUGACAUCUAGAUUUUCAUGAGCCAAGAACUUUCCCUUCCUCAUGUGUAUUCCUCUGUUUGUACUUAAAUUCAUGUGACAUUCAUUUUUUUCCUAGUAUGGAUAUGCUUAUUAAUGCACUUGUUUCAAAAUCCCAAAUUGCACAAAUGUGUUAAUAUUUUAAGAAACAAAAUGAAUCCUACAAGGAGAAUGAUUUUUAGCCACACAUAGGGUUGGAUCUUGAGAGUGACCUACAGAAUAAAAGUACUUUUAAAAUAAAGUAGUCAGAGGCUAUUCAAAGGGUAAAAUAAUCAUAGUACCACAUUGGUCCACUUGACACUAACCAAUCGAUCAUUUUUUUUUAAUCAAGAAAGCUAGAUUCUAUCAGAUAAAAUCACUGCUUCUAAAGAGUUUAAAUCUAGUUAGAAAAAGUUAUAGAAAUGUUUGCAAAGAUAAGUAACAGAUAGAGUCAGUAGAGGAUAAGAUCAAAAACAAAACCAAGCAAAAGAUGAGUUCAGGGGAGUUUGCCAUCAAGUUGGCAAAACUGACUUACUUAGGGAAGAAAGUUAUAAAACAGGAAAAUAUGAGAUGAACCUUGAGUGAUGUGGAAGAUUUAGAUAAAUGGAAAGGAAGGAGAAAAUGGAGUUCUUUAGGUGGUUGUAAUUGGAGGAGGAAAUGAAUACACACAUCUUGUUGACUUAAACCCAGACAUUCAGCAGCUCUCUAUACAUAUCUGGAAAAGACUGCACAGUCACCUCCUGUCUCUCACCCCAGGUAUUACUUAGAAUUAUUAUCAUAUUUCCCUUCCUUUAAAGUAAGUAAGGGUGAUUGGUGACAAUAUGGAGAACUAUGAUUUUUCCAUUAACCUAAUAAUAAUUGGUAUUUAUUGAGUUCUGUUAAGCAUUUUACAUAUUAACUCACUUAAGCCUUUCAACAGCCUUGCAAAAUAGGUAUUAUUAUCCCCAUUUUACAGGCAAGAAAACUGAGGUUUAAGUAACUUGCCGAAGUGCCAUAUACAGGGCUCACAUUCAGUAUUGCAGUUGCAAAGCUCAUGAUCUAUAGUGCCAAGUUGCAAUAUUGUAGUCAAUGUCACAAUUAUUACCCCUUUUUAUAUUCCUUGAUAUUUUUCCAUGGCAAACAAUUAGCUAUUUCAUUUAAUAAUCACCUAAAACUUUUCAGUCUUCUGAUUAAAAUUACGCUGGAGUGAUAGAAUGUAUUUUCAUGAUAGAAAUUGGGAAAAAAAAUGGGGAAUGAAGUUUAUCAGCAUUUCAGACUUGUUUUUUUUUUUUUUUUUUGCAAGACUUUGAUGAGAUUGUUCACUUUUGUCUAUGUAAAAUCCCAAAUCCUUGAGAAUAAAAAAGGGGGAGGUUUAAGUCACUUGUUGCAAUGCCCUUUUUAAUAGAGGCAAUAAAUCUAAAGGCCAUAAAUUUAGAGUGACUUACAGAAGAUCGAACUUUGGAGUGUGGCAGAGUAAGGGAUGGAAACCGGGCCCUCCAGUUCACUAUCAGUAGCUUUUGCACUGGUCUGCCCUUCCUAAAUUAAGUAUGCACUUCAAUUUGAUGAGUGGAAACAGUCUAUCUGGGCAGUAACCAGGGAGCUUUGUGCCUAGUAGAUUGCUUCUGUUCUGCACUUCUUUGGUUUCCCACCUCAAUGUAAAAAAUAGCUAGCAAUGAAGUCCAGAAGUUGUCAAUGGUUCAUCCCCAGAAGAAUGCAUAAUGUCCAAAGUUGUAUGUGUAUGAUGUCUUCAAUGGUAUUAAGUUAUUUCAAAUUCUUAGUUCACCUACAUAAAUCAUUUCUAACAAGCAUCUUCUUAACCAACUUUAUGCACAGUGUAUGUUUGUAAGUGCUUCUGCACGAAUGUUUAUACAUGACUGUUUCCAUAGUACUUAUGUUUUUAAAAAUAUUCAGUCAUUUCCUACUAUAAUCCUCAUGUAUCCAUGUAACUGACUCAAAAAUACUUCAGCCACAGAAAGCUAAAACUGAGCAAAUCUCAUUCUUCUUUUCCAUCCCCUUUGCAUGUGGCUGGCAUUUAGUAAUGAUUAAUAAUAUGGCCAGCUGAAUAACAGAGGUUUGAGACACAAUUCUUUCUCAAAGGAGUCAGCUAAGCUGGGUCUACUUAUGGACAAACAUCUAAAUGUGUGGAAGUAUCUGAUAUUUGACAAUGGUAAAUUUCCACUUAGCUAGCUAGCAUUGUCAGACUUCAAUCUCCUCAUGGCUCUGGCCGUCCUGUUUUAAGCAUGAUAAUUGUUGGCCACAUCUCACAUAGUUCUCAUUGAGUGAGUUCAUAAAUAAACAGGGUUUUUUUUUUUUUUUAAAGAGCAGCCAAGCACAAAGUGUGACUUUGUUGACAUUUUAUGUGACUUUGUCAUAUGUUCCUAACCCCCAAUAAAAGCAAUGUUGCAUCAA